Non-coding RNA from Camelina sativa (false flax), 3170 nucleotides. Lineage: Eukaryota; Viridiplantae; Streptophyta; Magnoliopsida; Brassicales; Brassicaceae. The record is from RefSeq and is a predicted model, not a curated record.
UUUUUUUGUCUUUAUGGAUUAAAAUCACUAAACAGUCUUAAGUCUCAACGAAUCCCAAAUCCUUCACCAAUUUCAUCAAUUUCGAUUUGAAAAUUGUUCUGCAACUCCAUAAGAGGUUCAUAAGGAUCCGUGAAGAUAUUUAGGAUCAAUUUUUCAGCUUUGGUGAAUCUCAUAUUUCAGAGAAAUUUGAAAUUUAAGGUACCAUUCACUUUUCUACAUCUAGAUUGAGUGUUGAGCUUUGUUUUUGUAUGAUUUAGCUACUACUUUGUUUCUUAAUUAUUUGUUCCCGUUUGAUACUUGUGUUCAAUGGAAAGUGAAAAAUGUGAGCAAUAAUGAGCUCAAAGGAACCAAAAUGUUAUAUUUUUAUCAUGUUCUUGUUUGAUUUAAAUUGUGGUUAAGAAUCACUUAAUUGAUUGUGGAUUUGUAUCUCUUGCUUAUGCUCAUUGGCUGGUUAAUUGAUAUUGAUUCUGGAUUUUUGUUUCCACAAGAAUAUAUUGUCUAUUCUAAAAGCAAUAAUUGAUAAAAUUUUGUGAAUCCAUGAUUUAUCGCUUAUUUUUUCUUUAACUAUGGUGUUUGAUUUCCAUUUCUAUGGAAGUCAAAAUGUUUUUGUGUAUCUGAUAAUUAGAUUACUCUAUUCGUAGAGUAACUGUGAAAUGGACAAAUCUUAGAUAACGAAACAUCGUUUAUCUCAAGACUACAUAAGUGGAGUCGAAGCAUUUUUGGAUUUUGCUUUUGGUGUUGUAAGACAGAGAUGGUAAAAUGUCCUUGUCAGACUUUAUAUCUUGUUAAAUACAAGCUUAGGGUUUAGAUUAAGGGUGAUUUAAUCUGUCAUGGUUUUCUACCUACGUAUACAAAUUGGUAUCUCUAUGGUGAAAAAAAAAUAGAUUUUCAGGAGCAAACAGUGAGGUUAGAACCUGAAUCUGAUGGUGAUCAUGCUGAAAACCUGACUAUGAAUCUGCUUGAAGAUAUUUUGCCUGUGGAGGAUCAUUCAAAGCAAAAGGAGGCAUUUGAUUAUUUGUUAUCAGACUGUAAUGCAGCUUUAUAUGAAGGGUGCCACACAUUCAGCAAGUUAUCAUUUAUGAUUAAGUUGUAUCGCAUCAAGUGUAUAUCUAGGAUAAGUGACAAAGGAAUGUCAAUGAUAAUUUAUCUCUUGAAGGAAGCUUUUGAGCAUGCAAAACUGUCAGAUUCAUCUAAUGAUAUGAGGAAGAUAAUACAUAAUUUAUGAUUCAACUAUGAGACUAUUCAUGUGUGUCCCAAUGAUUGCAUGUUGUAUUGGGGAGAUGAUGCAUCUAGAAACACAUGCAAAAUCUGUGAAAAAUCAAGGUGGAAGACAUCUACAACAGUUCAUGAUACACAGGAUAAAAAGAAGAAAAAGAAGCAACAAGCAGCUAAAGUCCUUAGAUAUUUUUUCGUUGAAACCACGCUUGCAGCGUUUUUUUAUGUCAUCCAAAACUGCUGAAUAUAUGAGGUGGCAUGCUUAAUCUGAGAACAGAGAUGGUGGACGAAGACAUCCUAGAGAUGGAAAUGCUUGGAAAAUAUUUAAUGAAAAAUUUCCAAAGUUUGCAUCAGUUCCAAGGAAUGUCAGACUAGGAUUAGCAACUGAUGGAUUUAAUCUGUUUGGUUCUAUGAGUACAAGCUAUAGUGUAUGGCAUGUGCUUUUAUUUCCUUACAAUUUUCCGCCUUGGAUGUCCAUGAAUGAUACAUCAAUGAUUUCUUCAAUGCUAAUCCCGGGAAAACACAUGCUAGGUAAUGAUAUUGAUAUCUAUCUUCAACCUCUUAUACAAGAACUAAGAUAGUUAUGGUAUGAUGGUGUUUCAACCUAUGAUGCUUCUUUAAAGGAGACAUUUUGUAUGCGUGCGGUUUUGUUAUGGACCAUCAGUGAUUUUCCAGGGUUUGGAAAUUUAUCUGGGUGGAACAUAUACACAGGAUUGGCUUGUCCUUCAUGUAAUGAUGAUGCUGCAUAGUUUCGCUUACGCCAUGGGAAGAAAAACUGCUACAUGGGAAAUCGUCGGUUUCUACCUCAAAGUCAUAUUUUCGGAAGGAUAAGCAGCAUUUUGAUGGCUUUAUUGAAACAAAGGGCUGCUCCUAUUACACCAUCAGGAAAUGUUAUUCUCCAGCAACUCAAAAAUGUUCAUGUUAUUUUGGGGAAGAAUGUAGAUAAUAUUGGAAAGAAGAGGCGCAAGCUAGAAGUUAGGAAAAAUCAAUGGAGAAAGAGUAGUAUAUUUUUUAAACUCCCUUAAUGGAAACAUCUUCUAUUACGUCACAAUCUGGAUUUGAUGCACAUAGAAAAAAACAUAUUUGACAAUCUCAUUUUUACCUUUUUGGAUGAUAUAGGCAACUCAAAAGAUAAUCUCAGUGCUAGAAAAGAUUUGCAGGAGCUUGGUUUUCGUCAAGAAUUGUGGUCUAAUGAAAAUGGAAAAUAUCUUCCGGCAUGUUUUACGAUGGCCACACAAGAGAAAGAUAGAUUUCUUACUAUCUUACAGUGUGUAAAGCUUCCAGAUGGAUAUUCUUCAAAUAUAUCUGCUUUUAGUGAUCUGAUUUAACGAAAAAAAUGGUGGGUUUAAAGAGUCAUGAUUGCCACAUCUUAAUGGGUCAGUUGUUGGCUAUCGCUAUACAUAACGUUUUACCACGAGAGGUCUCAUUUGUUGUAACAGAUUGUAACAGAGUUAUGUCGCUUCUUUCGAGAAAUAAGUUCAAAGGUAUUGGAUAUUAAAGAACUGGAUAAGUUGCAGGAGCAUAUUUCACUUACGUUGUGCCAUUUAGAGAUGAUUUUUCCUCCAUCAUUUUUCAACAUAAUGGUACAUUUGACCAUCCAUCUGACAGAAGAAGUGAAACUAGGAGGUCCAGUUCAAUUUUGAUGGAUGUAUCAAGUUGAGAGGGUCUUUGGGCGUUUAAAGUCUUAUGUCAGAAAUCAAGCUCAACCUGAAGGGUCCAUUUGUGAGCAGUAUAUUGCUGAUGAGUGUCUUACGUUUUGCUCUAUGUAUCUUGAUGGAGUAGAAACAAAAUUUAAUGGUAUUGGUAGAGUGGAUGAUCACCCUAUGGCUAAGCAUAACUUAGGUCCUGGAUCACAAAUUCAACAUGUUUUUCCUUUACUUGGGAGACAUGUUGGUGCUUCUAGAUUGGAUACACUUAGUCGUAUAGAAAGACAACAAGCUCACUGAUAUAUCUUA